Molecule: non-coding RNA, 181 nt
Filed under: Clostridium pasteurianum
Lineage: Bacteria; Bacillati; Bacillota; Clostridia; Eubacteriales; Clostridiaceae
Also listed under: 1 other name
Description: GlcN6P sequence
Rfam family: glmS glucosamine-6-phosphate activated ribozyme aptamer
About the family: This entry contains a glucosamine-6-phosphate activated ribozyme that is found in the mRNA for GlmS. GlmS is an enzyme that uses fructose-6-phosphate and glutamine to generate glucosamine-6-phosphate.
Source: RNAcentral
AUUGUAAAUUAAGCGCCAGAACUUGAGAAUGAUGGAAAAAAAUAAGCUGUUUGCUAAUUUCUCAAGUUGACGAGGACAAGGAGUAUCGAAAUUUCGGCGGAUACCUUGCGGUAGGGCACUACCGGAAAUAUUGACAAAUCCAGAAAGUGAUUUUUGGGACAAAGCAAUAAGGUGCCUGAAA